This 1406-nucleotide ribosomal RNA is filed under the name uncultured bacterium. RNAcentral's name for it is "16S ribosomal RNA". It matches the Rfam family "Bacterial small subunit ribosomal RNA". The record is from RNAcentral.
AGAGUUUGAUCCUGGCUCAGGAUGAACGCCUUUUGGCAGGCUUAACACAUGCAAGUCGAAGGGCAUCGAGGGGAGUGCUUGCACUCCCUGGCGGCGACUGGCGCACGGGUGAGUAACACGUAUGCAACCUGCCCUCCACAGGGGGACAACCUUCCGAAAGGGAGGCUAAUCCCCCAUAAAUCUCGAUGGGGCAUCCCAUUGAGAGGAAAACUUCGGCGGUGGAGGAUGGGCAUGCGGCGCAUUAGCUAGUCGGCGGGGUAACGGCCCACCAAGGCGACGAUGCGUAGGGGUACUGAGAGGAAGGCCCCCCACACUGGUACUGAGACACGGACCAAACUCCUACGGGAGGCAGCAGUGAGGAAUAUUGGUCAAUGGACGGGAGCCUGAACCAGCCAAGCCGCGUGAGGGAAUAAGGCCCUAUGAGUCGUAAACCUCUUUUGUCCGAGAACAAACGCGGAGACGCGUCCCCGUCUGCGUGUACCCGAAGAAAAAGCAUCGGCUAACUCCGUGCCAGCAGCCGCGGUAAUAAGGAGGAGGAGAGCGUUAUCAUGAUUUAUUGGGUUUAAAGGGUGGGUAGGCGGUAUUGUAAGUCAUCGGUAAAAGCCUGGGGCUCAUCCCCGUCGAACCGUCGUAACUUCCGUGUUAGAGAGGAAGAGAAGUAGGCGGAAUGCGCAGUGUAGCGGUGAAAUGAUUAGAUAUUGAUCAGAACUCACAUUGCGAAGGCAGCCUGCCGGCCUAUGUCUGUCGGUGAGGCAGGCAAGCGUGGGUAUCGAACAGGAUUAGAUACCCUCGUAGUCCAUGCAGUCAACGAUGAAUGCACGACUGUCCGUGUCGCGACAUGACAGACGUGCGGUGGCGAAGCGAAAGCGAUAAGCAUUCCACCUGGGGAGUACGCCGCCAGCGGUGAAAUUCAAAGGAAUGGACGGGGGCCCGCCCAAGCGGAGGAACAUGUGGUUUAAUUGGAUGAUACGCGAGGACCCUUCCCCGGGCUCAAACGGGAGAUGACGUGGGCAGAGACGUCUGUCUCUUAGGACAUCUUCCGAGGUGCUGCAUGGUUGUCGUCAGCUCGUGCCGUGAGGUGUCGGGUUAAGUGCCAUAACGAGCGCAACCCCUGCCGACAGUUGCUAACGCGUCGAGGUGAGCACUCUGUCGGGACUGCCGGCGCAAGCCGCGAGGAAGGCGGGGAUGACGUCAAAUCAGCACGGCCCUUACGUCCGGGGCGACACACGUGUUACAAUGGGGGGUACAGCGGGAAGCCAGCCGGCGACGCCGAGCGGAUCCCGAAAGCCUCUCUCAGUUCGGAUCGGAGUCUGCAACCCGCCUCCGUGAAGCUGGAUUCGCUAGUAAUCGCGCAUCAGCCAUGGCGCGGUGAAUACGUUCCCGGGCCUUGCACUCACCGCCCGUCA